GUGGUUCCCAGAAACUAAGAAACCCCUUUAGGGUUUCCACAUCCUCACCUCAUUUUACUCAACGCAGAAGAACACAAAGGGUCUCUCUCGAUGACACUAGCAGCCCCUCAUCUCCGCCGGUAGAAUCCAAGGCUACCAUCUCACCACUCGACUUCUCUGCCACAGACCGCCGUCAAUCAAUGGUGUUGCCGGUGACAUCGCGAGCCGCCAUAGCCACCGAUCGCCCGACGUCAGGCCCUUCCUCCAUUUCGGUUCGUAGAAGUGGGAACUUUCUUCUUCCUCCUCCAUUUAGGUUGUAUUAUUGUAUAACAGAGGGUACAUGGAUAAGGGAAAUUCGAUCCUUUUUGUUUUUGGGAUCUGGGUAGGUUUGUGAUCUAGAGAAGAGAUAUUCAUCGUUGGAGGGGAACCCUCUGUUGCAGCGUUGUUGCUUUUCUUGUUAUUCCUUUUGUAUCAUCAAUCGAGUCAGACUGUGGGGUCUUUCAAAAUUGGAUCUUUACCUUCGAAUUUUGUUGGCAUGGUUUCUGCACGCCUAUGUUUAUAAAUUUUGUAAGUGAUGCAGUAAUCUGAGUUUUUAUGUUAAAGUAAAAAAUUGUUGAUGCUUUGCAUGGUAGAGUGAAUCGUUAUUUUACAUGGAAAUGUUGUCGAAGUUCUUGACCGGCGCAAUGAGAAGGGCUCUUCGUUUUU
Vigna radiata var. radiata (mung bean) is the source of this 684-nucleotide long non-coding RNA. RefSeq lists it as uncharacterized. The transcript has 2 exons. Lineage: Eukaryota; Viridiplantae; Streptophyta; Magnoliopsida; Fabales; Fabaceae. The record is from RefSeq and is a predicted model, not a curated record.